AGCCGACCUUGAAAUACCACCCUUUAAUGUUUGAUGUUCUAACGUGGACCCGUAAUCCGGGUUGCGGACAGUGUCUGGUGGGUAGUUUGACUGGGGCGGUCUCCUCCUAAAGAGUAACGGAGGAGCACGAAGGUUGGCUAAUCCUGGUCGGACAUCAGGAGGUUAGUGCAAUGGCAUAAGCCAGCUUGACUGCGAGCGUGACGGCGCGAGCAGGUGCGAAAGCAGGUCAUAGUGAUCCGGUGGUUCUGAAUGGAAGGGCCAUCGCUCAACGGAUAAAAGGUACUCCGGGGAUAACAGGCUGAUACCGCCCAAGAGUUCAUAUCGACGGCGGUGUUUGGCACCUCGAUGUCGGCUCAUCACAUCCUGGGGCUGAAGUAGGUCCCAAGGGUAUGGCUGUUCGCCAUUUAAAGUGGUACGCGAGCUGGGUUUAGAACGUCGUGAGACAGUUCGGUCCCUAUCUGCCGUGGGCGCUGGAGAACUGAGGGGGGCUGCUCCUAGUACGAGAGGACCGGAGUGGACGCAUCACUGGUGUUCGGGUUGUCAUGCCAAUGGCACUGCCCGGUAGCUAAAUGCGGAAGAGAUAAGUGCUGAAAGCAUCUAAGCACGAAACUUGCCCCGAGAUGAGUUCUCCCUGAGACUUAGAGUCUCCUGAAGGAACGUUGAAGACGACGACGUUGAUAGGCCGGGUGUGUAAGCGCAGCGAUGCGUUGAGCUAACCGGUACUAAUGAACCGUGAGGCUUAACCUUAC
RNAcentral lists this ribosomal RNA (749 nucleotides) under Salmonella enterica subsp. enterica serovar Thompson. RNAcentral describes it as "partial 23S ribosomal RNA". It matches the Rfam family "Bacterial large subunit ribosomal RNA", at positions 2184 to 2925 of the family's 2925-position model. The record is from RNAcentral. Lineage: Bacteria; Pseudomonadati; Pseudomonadota; Gammaproteobacteria; Enterobacterales; Enterobacteriaceae.